CCAGUGACCUUGUUCAACGGCCGCGGUAUCCUAACCGUGCGAAGGUAGCGUAAUCACUUGUUCUUUAAAUGAGGACUAGUAUGAAUGGCACCACGAAGGUUAUACUGUCUCCUUUCUUUAAUCAGUGAAACUAAUCUCCCCGUGAAGAAGCGGGGAUGUAAUUAUAAGACGAGAAGACCCUAUGGAGCUUUAAACAUGAGUAACAAUUGCCCACCACAAUAAAAAUCCCCGGAAAUUAACCACAAUAUUUAGGCAUCUUGAUUACAAGUUUUAGGUUGGGGUGACCGCGGAGCAAAAAACAACCUCCGCAGUGAAGGGAACUUAUUUCCUAAACCCAGGGCUACGACCCUAAGAAUCAACAAAUUGACACUAAUUGACCCAAUAUUUUUGAUCAAUGAACCAAGUUACCCUAGGGAUAACAGCGCAAUCCACUUCAAGAGCCCCUAUCGACAAGUGGGUUUACGACCUCGAUGUUGGAUCAGGGUAUCCCAGUGGUGCAGCCGCUACUAAAGGUUCGUUUGUUCAACGAUUAAAACCCUACGUGAUCU
RNAcentral lists this ribosomal RNA (548 nucleotides) under Leptodactylus paranaru. Its description in RNAcentral is "partial 16S ribosomal RNA". It matches the Rfam family "Bacterial large subunit ribosomal RNA", at positions 1911 to 2606 of the family's 2925-position model. The record is from RNAcentral. Lineage: Eukaryota; Metazoa; Chordata; Amphibia; Anura; Leptodactylidae.